AUUGAACGCUGGCGGCACGCCUAACACAUGCAAGUCGAACGAGUGGCGGACGGGUGAGUAAUGUCUGGGAAACUGCCUGAUGGAGGGGGAUAACUACUGGAAACGGUAGCUAAUACCGCAUACCAUCGGAUGUGCCCAGAUGGGAUUAGCUAGUAGGUGGGGUAACGGCUCACAUAGGCGACGAUCACUAGCUGGUCUGAGAGGAUGACCAGCGACACUGGAACUGAGACACGGACCAGAGGCAGAGGGGAGGAAGCAGUGGGGAAUAUUGCAAAAUGGGCGAAGGCCUGAUGGAGCCAUGCCGCGUGUAUGAAGAAGGCCAUCGGGUUGUAAAGUACUUUCAGCGGGGAGGCGUUACCCGCAGAAGAGGCACCGGCUAACUCCGUGCCAGCAGCCGCGGUAAUUC
RNAcentral lists this ribosomal RNA (406 nucleotides) under uncultured bacterium. RNAcentral describes it as "partial 16S ribosomal RNA". It matches the Rfam family "Bacterial small subunit ribosomal RNA", at positions 29 to 526 of the family's 1533-position model. The record is from RNAcentral.